Molecule: transfer RNA, 73 nt
Filed under: Henricia downeyae
Lineage: Eukaryota; Metazoa; Echinodermata; Asteroidea; Spinulosida; Echinasteridae
Description: tRNA-Leu
Rfam family: tRNA
About the family: Transfer RNA (tRNA) molecules are approximately 80 nucleotides in length. Their secondary structure includes four short double-helical elements and three loops (D, anti-codon, and T loops).
Source: RNAcentral
GUUGAGAUAGCAAAUUGGUAAAUGCGGUAGUUUUAGGAACUAUUAUGAAAGGGUUCGAUUCUUUUUUUCAACU